Molecule: ribosomal RNA, 253 nt
Filed under: uncultured bacterium
Lineage: Bacteria
Description: partial 16S ribosomal RNA
Rfam family: Bacterial small subunit ribosomal RNA
Source: RNAcentral
AACGUAGGAGACAAACGUUAUCCGGAGUUACUGGGCGUAAAGGGCGUGUAGGUGGUUUAGUAAGUCUGGCGUGAAAUUUUUCGGCUUAACCGGGAAAGGUCGUCGGAUACUGCAAGACUAGAGGACGGUAGAGGCGUGCGGAAUUCCGGGUGUAGUGGUGAAAUGCGUAGAGAUCCGGAGGAACACCAGUGGCGAAGGCGACACGCUGGGCCGUACCUGACACUGAUGCGCGACAGCAUGGGGAGCAAACAGG